GACGAACGCUGGCGGCGUGCCUAACACAUGCAAGUCGAGCGCACCUGCUUUCGGGUGGGUGAGCGGCGAACGGGUGAGUAACACGUGGGUGACCUGCCCUUCACUCUGGGAUAAGCCUGGGAAACUGGGUCUAAUACCGGAUCUUAACUUGCUCUCGCAUGGGGGUGGGUGGAAAGUUUUUUCGGUGGGGGAUGGGCCCGCGGCCUAUCAGCUUGUUGGUGGGGUGAUGGCCUACCAAGGCGACGACGGGUAGCCGGCCUGAGAGGGCGACCGGCCACACUGGGACUGAGACACGGCCCAGACUCCUACGGGAGGCAGCAGUGGGGAAUAUUGCGCAAUGGGCGGAAGCCUGACGCAGCGACGCCGCGUGGGGGAUGACGGCCUUCGGGUUGUAAACCUCUUUCGACCUCGACGAAGCUUUCGGGUGACGGUAGGGGUAGAAGAAGCACCGGCCAACUACGUGCCAGCAGCCGCAGUAA
This 479-nucleotide ribosomal RNA is filed under the name uncultured bacterium. RNAcentral describes it as "partial 16S ribosomal RNA". It matches the Rfam family "Bacterial small subunit ribosomal RNA", at positions 28 to 523 of the family's 1533-position model. The record is from RNAcentral.